AACAAUACUUGAAGCUUCUGAGACAGCACUCACCACAUCUUUGUGAAUAUCUUUGACUCCUGUGGCUGUUUUAUCAACCAUAUGUGAUGAUUUUGAGACAGCAGUUGCCACAUCGUGUUGGACAUGUUCGACUCCUUUGGCUACUUUAGAUAUGAUUGAAGAUUUUGAGAAAGCACCGAGCAUGUUGAAGAAUUCCUUUUUGUGGAAAUUAGAAGAUCAAAAUUCAAAACGCAGUGGUUGAAGUUUAAAAAAGGAGACCAGCCUUUUCGAAAAAGCUAUUAACCGAUUAUCUAAAGUAGCCAA
This 303-nucleotide unclassified non-coding RNA is filed under the name Hevea brasiliensis (rubber tree). The record is from RNAcentral. Lineage: Eukaryota; Viridiplantae; Streptophyta; Magnoliopsida; Malpighiales; Euphorbiaceae.